UGAGGAAUAUUGCGCAAUGGGCGAAAGCCUGACGCAGCGACGCCGCGUGGAGGAUGAAGGUCUUCGGAUUGUAAACUCCUGUCGUGCGGGACGAAUGCCUCGGUCGUGAAUAACGGUCGGGGUUGACGGUACCGCAGGAGGAAGCCCCGGCUAACUCCGUGCCAGCAGCCGCGGUAAUACGGAGGGGGCCAGCGUUGUUCGGAAUCAUUGGGCGUAAAGGGCGCGUAGGCGGCCGAUCAAGUCGAACGUGAAAUCUCCCGGCUCAACCGGGAACCUGCGUCCGAUACUGCUCGGCUCGAGUCCCGGAGAGGGUAGUGGAAUUCCCAGUGUAGCGGUGAAAUGCGUAGAUACUGGGAGGAACACCGGUGGCGAAGGCGGCUACCUGGACGGGUACUGACGCUGAGGCGCGAGAGCUGGGGGAGCAAACAGG
RNAcentral lists this ribosomal RNA (430 nucleotides) under uncultured Acidobacteriota bacterium. RNAcentral describes it as "bacterial SSU rRNA". It matches the Rfam family "Bacterial small subunit ribosomal RNA", at positions 355 to 776 of the family's 1533-position model. Lineage: Bacteria; Pseudomonadati; Acidobacteriota. The record is from RNAcentral.